GGUUUUUUGAAUUUAACUAGAAAAUCAGGCCUGCCCACUGAUAAAGGGCUGCAGUAUUUUGACUGUACAAAGGUAGCAUAAUCAUUAGUCUUUUAAUUAAGGACUGGUAUGAAAGGUUAGACGGGGAUAAGCUGUCUCAAUUAUAAAAAUAAAUUUUAUUUUUAAGGAAAAGAGCUUAAAUUUAUCAAGGGGACGAGAAGACCCUAUUAAAUUUGAUAUAAUAAAUUAUUUUUAAUUGUAUAAAAGAAGUAAGUGUAUAUUAGUUUUACUGGGGCGGUGUGUUUAUAACUUUAUUAUGUUUUAAUUUAGUAGAUAGCGGAUUUUUGAUCCGAAAGGAUCGAUAUUAGAUAAAAUUACUAUAGGGAUAACAGCGUAAUAUUUUUUGAGAGUUCUUAUUGACAGGAAUGUUUGCGACCUCGAUGUUGGAUUAAGAAGUCUUAUUGGUGCAGUAGUUUUUGAAGAAGGUCUGUUCGACCUUUAAAUUCUU
RNAcentral lists this ribosomal RNA (487 nucleotides) under Thyropygus induratus. Its description in RNAcentral is "partial 16S ribosomal RNA". It matches the Rfam family "Bacterial large subunit ribosomal RNA", at positions 1886 to 2597 of the family's 2925-position model. The record is from RNAcentral. Lineage: Eukaryota; Metazoa; Arthropoda; Diplopoda; Spirostreptida; Harpagophoridae.